This is a long non-coding RNA of Anneissia japonica, 2126 nucleotides long. RefSeq lists it as uncharacterized. The record is from RefSeq and is a predicted model, not a curated record. Lineage: Eukaryota; Metazoa; Echinodermata; Crinoidea; Comatulida; Comatulidae. The transcript has 3 exons.
UCAAACUCAGCUAUGCUUUAAAGCAGUUCUGUGUAGGUAUAUGAUAGGCCUAUAUUUGACAAACCGUAACUAAGUUAUUAAAUAUUCAUUGAUUUUACUUUUUCAGAGUAACAUUCAAUCUACCCACUGGCACCACAACUGCAACUUCUGUCAGCUCAAUCCAGCAGCUUUUUGCAUGUAAGUUAAGGCCUAUCUCUAUUACUACUUUUUUGUUAAAUUGGAUUUUAGUACUGUAUUUAAUAAUGUGCUGUUUUAUUUAGGUCUAUGUAUUUUAUAGAGGCCUGAGGCCUAGGUUUGUUCCUUUUUUGGGUGUUGGUUUUUUUUUGAGGUUUCUUUUUCUUUUUUGUUAAUAACUUCACGGAAUUUUACACAGAUUUUGGGUCUAUCUUUUUAACCAGUUUUGUACACACUGUAUCUGUUUCAGAUGGACAACAAACACCAUUGUUGCACAUGUUCCAGAUAGGCCAAUUUGUACUGUAGCACCAUUGACCACAUCAGAUCAAGAAUCAGCAAGAAAAAAGAUCAAAAGAUGGGAUAAAGAAAUGGACAAUGAUUUAGUAAAACAGAUGCUCAAUUCAAAUAUUUUUAGCUACAAAUAUAAUUCGAAGAGCCGAGGUUUGCGAUUAAUCCAUUCGGAGCGACAACAGACUGAAAUUUAUUACCAUGAAUUCUUUUAUGUCCAUUUUACAUAUUCUUUGCGACUGUACAGGUCUACAAAUGGGUUGAACGGUCUCAUCUAUGAACCCCCCCCCCCCAACAGUUGUUGAGUGGUGCGCCCUUAGUUUGAAUAACAUUACAAAAUUCUUGAAGCUUAUCUGGAGCAAGUCAUGGCUGUUGGAGAGUUUCCAAAAGAUGGUUACAAUUGUCAUAAAUAAUAUGUGCACGAUUUUGCACGUUGCCAAAAACAACUCUGUUAUGACCGAACCAUGUCUGUAUAUCAACAUGAUACGCAAAACGAUAAAAAAAAACAUACAAAAUGCCUCGAUUCCAUCAAAUAUGAAUCCAUUUUUGCAUCGCCCUUCAUGCGGAAUUCUUAAAACAUCAUUGAUAAAUGUCAUCCUUUUCAAAUCUUGAAUUAAAUAAUGUUAUUUUGUUAAUACAAAAGUGUAUACUGUAUAUAUACAGGUAUAUUGAUAUUGACUUGUGUGUGAGGAGCCAAAGCGCAGAGGCAUAUUUAAGAGUGGGUCUAACGAAGGUGGUGUAGCAUUGUGCCUUAAAGACCGUCUGACAAGCUGAAUUAUAUGACUUAUAAGAAAAUAUACAAAUAUAUAUUUGUAUGUAUAUGAUAUAGUACAGUAAUAAUAAUAUAUCAAUUUGAUACAUAAUUACACAUUCUAACUGGACUCUGUACAUAGGAUGUAUACAUUGUGCCUGUAUUUAACAUUUUUCAAUGAUUGUCAAUCUAAAGUCGGAGUUAUGUCCUGGUUUCGACCCUUUAACGUCACUAUUGGAUAGGCUUAUCUUCAUUAGACUUCUACGAAUAAUUACUGUAGUGUGUAGUGUCAUAAUUGCUAUGUGCUUGUUUGUAAAAUUGACAUUAUGGUCAAAUUAAUGAAUAAUUGACACACUGCCUUAAUUCAACUUUAUUAUUUAUUUAUUAUUAAAUUGUAUUUAUAAUAUUUUAUUGAUGUAUGCCUAACAUAAUUUUAACUGGUGGUCACGGCUUAAAGUUUGAUUCUAAACUUAUUUUGGCCUCUUAAUGUCUAUACACUUAUUAUGUUCUUAUUUCUUUUACUAUUAAGUUUUUUUUUUUGUUGUACAGUAUUAUGUAUGUGUAUGUGAGUGAACAAAUUAAAUGAAAUAAAAAUUAAAAAAACGCAGACUAUACAACUGCUUCUCUUUUGUUAAAUAAUGGCUCUGAAAAGAGCCUUUUGGUUUGAGAUUCUUGUUUACAUGAGACUGCUAAAUCUUGAAAGAUGUUUAGCUAUUGCUACAUCUUUCUCUGGUAUGCUAAAUGCUGAACGAACAACGAACAGGUGGUGGUGGAGAACUGAGUUGUGGAAUGGAUAGUUGUGGGUCUAUCUUCCCACUGCUACACAACUAGAUUACCUCUGCUAUAAGCUUAUAUUUUAUAACUGGUUUCUUUCGCCAUUUCUUCCUAUUUUUUUCCUGUAUGGGAGGAUGUA